This 621-nucleotide long non-coding RNA is filed under the name Musa acuminata (dwarf banana). Its description in RNAcentral is "long non-coding RNA (MACU_LNC003304)". The record is from RNAcentral. Lineage: Eukaryota; Viridiplantae; Streptophyta; Magnoliopsida; Zingiberales; Musaceae.
GGCGCCGUGGACGGCUCGCCUUCCUUGAACGACGCAACCCCGUACAUGGUCAGGCAGAUGCUGAGGAUCACGACGAGGCCGGCGGCGGCCAGCGAUCCCGCAGCUCCGGCGAUCUCGGUGUUGCGGAGUGGCCCGGCCUUGACGAAGGGCCCCACGAGGAGGUAACCGUGGGCGAGGCCCACCUCGACGCCGCGAAGGAGCGGGCUCACGGCGGUCCGGUAGGCAGGGAGGUUGGACAAGUACCAGGCGAUCAGCGGACUGGAUGUCACCGGCGUCUCCAGGCUUCCGAUGAAGGGGUCGCCGUUGAUCGGCUGGAUCACUUGGUAAGUUGGCUGUGGCAAUUCAGAUAAGAGAAGUGAUGAAGGCGGGAAUCAUUCCUAAGCAAAAGAUCGACAUAUGUAGAAGACUUGUUUCUUGCCUUCUCCGCUUGGAUGGCUCUAACCGUGAGACAAAGCUUCUUCCUGGAGUGCAGGUCUCUUAGUGGUGUGGCCGACAGGCCUCUGGGGAUGACAAGACGCCUACUGCUCCUGCAGGAAAAGAGAAGGCUGCUCUUCAACUGGCUGGCCAUGGGAGGGGCAGAAGCCAGUGCCAUUGUCGUUCCUGCUGCAGUUCUCACUCGAG